RNAcentral lists this ribosomal RNA (380 nucleotides) under uncultured Pelotomaculum sp. RNAcentral's name for it is "bacterial SSU rRNA". It matches the Rfam family "Bacterial small subunit ribosomal RNA", at positions 996 to 1382 of the family's 1533-position model. The record is from RNAcentral. Lineage: Bacteria; Bacillati; Bacillota; Clostridia; Eubacteriales; Desulfotomaculaceae.
AGUCCCUUAACCGGAUCUCCUUCGGGGCAGAGGAGACAGGUAGUGCAUGGUUGUCGUCAGCUCGUGUCGUGAGAUGUUGGGUUAAGUCCCGCAACGAGCGCAACCCACGUUAGUUGCUAACGCGUGAAGGCGAGCACUCUAGACGAACUGCCGUUGACAAAACGGAGGAAGGUGGGAUGACGUCAAAUCAUCAUGCCCUUAUGUUCUGGGCUACACACGUGCUACAAUGGCCGGUACAGACGGACGCAAAGCCGCGAGGUGGAGCAAAUCCUAAAAAGCCGGUACUCAGUUCGGAUUGCAGGCUGCAAUUCGCCUGCAUGAAGUCGGAAUCACUAGUAAUCGCAGGUCAGCAUACUGCGGUGAAUACGUUCCCGGGCCUU